This 375-nucleotide ribosomal RNA is filed under the name uncultured bacterium. RNAcentral's name for it is "bacterial SSU rRNA". It matches the Rfam family "Bacterial small subunit ribosomal RNA", at positions 524 to 898 of the family's 1533-position model. The record is from RNAcentral.
UACGGAGGGUGCAAGCGUUAAUCGGAAUUACUGGGCGUAAAGCGCACGCAGGCGGUCUGUCAAGUCGGAUGUGAAAUCCCCGGGCUCAACCUGGGAACUGCAUCCGAAACUGGCAGGCUAGAGUCUUGUAGAGGGGGGUAGAAUUCCAGGUGUAGCGGUGAAAUGCGUAGAGAUCUGGAGGAAUACCGGUGGCGAAGGCGGCCCCCUGGACAAAGACUGACGCUCAGGUGCGAAAGCGUGGGGAGCAAACGGGAUUAGAUACCCUGGUAGUCCACGCCGUAAACGAUGUCGACUUGGGGGUUGUGCCCUUGGGGCGUGGCUGCCGGAGCUAACGCGUUAAGUCGACCGCCUGGGGAGUACGGCCGCAAGGUUGAA